Molecule: small RNA, 896 nt
Filed under: Pongo abelii (Sumatran orangutan)
Lineage: Eukaryota; Metazoa; Chordata; Mammalia; Primates; Hominidae
Description: processed transcript
Source: RNAcentral
AAUUAAUUAACCAACUGAGAUCCAGUUCAGGGGUGAAAGUUCUUCAGAAAGCCACCUCUCCCUCCUGUACCACCUCACCGCGGUGUCCUCGCCUGCCCCGGGGACUCCUGCCUUCUGGGUGUCUGGCUGGCUGGGCCCGCAGCAGUACCUGAGCUACAAUAGCCUGCGGGGCGAGGCGGAGCCCUGUGGAGCUUGGGUCUGGGAAAACCAGGUGUCCUGGUAUUGGGAGAAAGAGACCACAGAUCUGAGGAUCAAGGAGAAGCUCUUUCUGGAAGCUUUCAAAGCUUUGGGGGGAAAAGGUGAGAUUCCGGUCUGGAGGGGCAAGGGGCCGGGUCCAUGCUCUUGGGCCCCGCUUACCUGUGUUUGGGCGCCCCAGGUCCCUACACUCUGCAGGGCCUGCUGGGCUGUGAACUGGGCCCUGACAACACCUCGGUGCCCACCGCCAAGUUCGCCCUCAACGGCGAGGAGUUCAUGAAUUUCGACCUCAAGCAGGGCACCUGGGGUGGGGACUGGCCCGAGGCCCUGGCUGUCAGUCAGCGGUGGCAGCAGCAGGACAAGGCGGCCAACAAGGAGCUCACCUUCCUGCUGUUCUCCUGCCCGCACCGCCUGCGGGAGCACCUGGAGAGGGGCCGCGGAAACCUGGAGUGGAAGGGCUGCUGGACAAAGAUAGAUACCAGCUGGGGACGGGCACAGAUAUUCAUUCCAAGUGCCACAAAGGAGAAGUUGAGACUCAACCAGAGCCCCCCUCCAUGCGCCUGAAGGCCCGACCCAGCAGCCCUGGCUUUUCCGUGCUUACCUGCAGCGCCUUCUCCUUCUACCCUCCGGAGCUGCAACUUCGGUUCCAGCGGAAUGGGCUGGCCGCUGGCACCGGCCAGGGCGACUUCGGCCCCAACAGU